GAUGAACGCUGGCGGCGUGCCUAAUACAUGCAAGUCGAGCGAACAGACGAGGAGCUUGCUCCUCUGACGUUAGCGGCGGACGGGUGAGUAACACGUGGAUAACCUACCUAUAAGACUGGGAUAACUUCGGGAAACCGGAGCUAAUACCGGAUAACAUGUUGAACCGCAUGGUUCAACAGUGAAAGACGGUUUUGCUGUCACUUAUAGAUGGAUCCGCGCCGCAUUAGCUAGUUGGUAAGGUAACGGCUUACCAAGGCAACGAUGCGUAGCCGACCUGAGAGGGUGAUCGGCCACACUGGAACUGAGACACGGUCCAGACUCCUACGGGAGGCAGCAGUAGGGAAUCUUCCGCAAUGGGCGAAAGCCUGACGGAGCAACGCCGCGUGAGUGAAGAAGGUCUUCGGAUCGUAAAACGCUGUUAUUAGGGAAGAACAAAUGUGUAAGUAACUAUGCACGUCUUGACGGUACCUAGUCAGAAAGCCACGGCUAAAUACGUG
RNAcentral lists this ribosomal RNA (497 nucleotides) under uncultured bacterium. RNAcentral describes it as "partial 16S ribosomal RNA". It matches the Rfam family "Bacterial small subunit ribosomal RNA", at positions 28 to 507 of the family's 1533-position model. The record is from RNAcentral.